Molecule: ribosomal RNA, 273 nt
Filed under: uncultured bacterium
Lineage: Bacteria
Description: partial 16S ribosomal RNA
Rfam family: Bacterial small subunit ribosomal RNA
Source: RNAcentral
CCCGCCGGCGACCGGCGCACGGGUGAGUAACACGUAUGAAACCUGCCCGUAGCAGGGGGAUAAGCGGAAGAAAUUCCGUCUAAUACCGCGUAACAACCCAUGGAGGCAUCUCUGUGGGUUUAAAGGAAGCGAUUCCGGCUACGGAUGGUCAUGCGUCGCAUAGCUUGUUGGCGGGGUAACGGCCCACCAAGGCGACGAUGCGUAGGGGUUCUGAGAGGAAGGUCCCCCACACUGGUACUGAGACACGGACCAGACUCCUACGGAAGGCAGCAG